ACAGCUACACAAAUUAACUUCCUUUUCUUGUUGCCAAUCUACAAUGUAGAAUUGAGACAGAAGAAAAAAAUGCUUGAAGAUGACAUACACAAAACUGAACUAUGUUCUUCUCUGAACUUCAGCUAACUGAACAUACAUACAGAAGCAUACACACAAGCGUGAGUAAAUCCUCUAAGCAGAUCGAGCGGACAGGGUUCAUACCAGAGAAAGAAAUCACCGAAGGUUGAGCUGGUGUCC
This 237-nucleotide long non-coding RNA is filed under the name Hordeum vulgare. Its description in RNAcentral is "long non-coding RNA (HVUL_LNC011815)". Lineage: Eukaryota; Viridiplantae; Streptophyta; Magnoliopsida; Poales; Poaceae. The record is from RNAcentral.